Molecule: long non-coding RNA, 224 nt
Organism: Fukomys damarensis (Damara mole-rat)
Lineage: Eukaryota; Metazoa; Chordata; Mammalia; Rodentia; Bathyergidae
Exons: 3
Source: RefSeq, a predicted model, not a curated record
GUCACCGUGACAAGCGCUGAUGGUCCCCCCAUAAGAGUGUGUGCCAUAGCAGUAGAGAACGCCUGGUAAUCCAAACCUAAUUAGAAAGGUGGCCGUGGCACUUCUGGAGAUAAAGUCUUGCCACCUGCCAUGUCCUCAAGUGGAAAAUGGACAGUUACAUCCACAGCAUCAUCAUAAAUUCUCCUACACUUUAGCAAGCAGCUGAGAGAUUUGAAGAUGUGCAC